AUUCUGAGUGCGUCCUGGCGAGUCUCAGCCCCCAAGCGGGUGGAACGCACCAAGGGUCUCAUCCGCGAGGAAGGGCUUUAACGCUCAGGGUCAGGAACCUCUGAGAGCUCUUGGGGACUUGCGCGCCCUUGGAUGCUCUUGCGUUCAACAGGGCUAGGAGACUACCGGCUGGGGCGAGGAAUGCAGGCGCCUAGAGCCUUGGAGCUCCUGAAACGUUCCUGCCGCCUCCGGAAAGCAAGGGCAGUUUACCGAAGUGACUGAGGCCAAGUAUUUGCAGCACGGGCAGGGACCAGUAACUGAUUUUCAGGCCUUUUGAGAGGAAGAGGAAGAGAGAGGAAGAGAAGGAUUUCUAAUAGUAGAUAUUCACUCUCAUGGACUCUUUAGGAAACAGCAACAAAGACAAGAUUAAGAACACCAAAUUGUGUGACUAUCCACACAAAAAAGCAUCUUCAUAAGAACCAAAAAUCAGAGGGCAAGGAAAAAGGCUGAAUGCAAAACCAGAAUGUCAACAGGGUGCUAACGGAGACCAAUGGAAGGGGCAACUGACUCUCCCCAGGGAAGAAGGAAUGAAAUAGAAAGAAUAAAGCUGAAGGACAUUUCAUUUAUGUUCAACUAGAAAUCCAAUAUAGUUUUAGGCAAACUAUAUUUUCCCUUGCAACUGUACUCCCUUACAUACAUGUAAGUGGGAAAGAAUAAAUGUGACAAACAAAAUAUCACUCCUGAUUCCACAAUCUAAACAAAACACUGCCUCUUUCUAGGUUUUGUUUUUUGGUUUUUGUUUGUUUGUUUUUUGGCAUAGGGUUGGGGUGUAUGCUUCUUGACGUACCUACAUAAUGAGGAAUACAAGGCUUUGUAUCUUUUAUCAGUAAUUAUUCAUAGCUUAAUUGUGUAAAUUGUAAAAUAUCACACUUUUAUAAUCUUAA
This 923-nucleotide long non-coding RNA is filed under the name Homo sapiens (human). Its description in RNAcentral is "HSALNT0370142". Lineage: Eukaryota; Metazoa; Chordata; Mammalia; Primates; Hominidae. The record is from RNAcentral.